CCCUUAGAUGUUCUGGGCUGCACGCGCGCUACACUGACGCACGCAACAGGUGCCUGCUCCGAGAGGACUGGGUAAUCAUUUGAGUGUGCGUCGUGAUGGGGAUAGAAUAUUGUAAUUAUUACUCUUCAACGAGGAAUUCCUAGUAAGCGCCAGUCAGCAGCUUGCGCUGAUUACGUCCCUGCCCUUUGUACACACCGCCCGUCGCUCCUACCGAUGGGUGAUCCGGUGAAUGAUUCGGACUUCAGCGGCUCCCCUGGGGUGCGCCGGAGAAAGUUUUGUGAACCUUAUCACUUGGAGGAGGGAGAAGUCGUAACA
Molecule: ribosomal RNA, 315 nt
Filed under: uncultured eukaryote
Lineage: Eukaryota
Description: partial 18S ribosomal RNA
Rfam family: Eukaryotic small subunit ribosomal RNA
Source: RNAcentral